This 92-nucleotide transfer RNA is filed under the name Bacillota bacterium. Its description in RNAcentral is "tRNA-Ser". It matches the Rfam family "tRNA". From Rfam's summary of the family: Transfer RNA (tRNA) molecules are approximately 80 nucleotides in length. Their secondary structure includes four short double-helical elements and three loops (D, anti-codon, and T loops). Further hydrogen bonds mediate the characteristic L-shaped molecular structure. tRNAs have two regions of fundamental functional importance: the anti-codon, which is responsible for specific mRNA codon recognition, and the 3' end, to which the tRNAs corresponding amino acid is attached (by aminoacyl-tRNA synthetases). tRNAs cope with the degeneracy of the genetic code in two manners: having more than one tRNA (with a specific anti-codon) for a particular amino acid; and 'wobble' base-pairing, i.e. permitting non-standard base-pairing at the 3rd anti-codon position. The record is from RNAcentral. Lineage: Bacteria; Bacillati; Bacillota. RNAcentral also lists the same sequence under 2 other names.
GGAGAAGUACUCAAGUUGGCUGAAGAGGCGCCCCUGCUAAGGGCGUAGGUCGUGUAAGCGGCGCGAGGGUUCAAAUCCCUCCUUCUCCGCCA